GAUCUUGGUCAGGAUGAACGCUAGCUACAGGCUUAACACAUGCAAGUCGAGGGGCAGCAUUGGGAUAGCUUGCUAUUCAGAUGGCGACCGGCGCACGGGUGAGUAACGCGUAUCCAACCUUCCUGCCAGUAGGGAACAGCCCGGCGAAAGUCGGAUUAAUGCCCUAUGUUCUUCAAUGCGGACAUCUAAGUUGAAGGAAAGAUUCAUCGCUGGCAGAUGGGGAUGCGUCCGAUUAGCUUGCCGGCGGGGUAACGGCCCACCGGGGCGACGAUCGGUAGGGGUUCUGAGAGGAAGGUCCCCCACACUGGUACUGAGACACGGACCAGACUCCUACGGGAGGCAGCAGUGAGGAAUAUUGGUCAAUGGGCGUAAGCCUGAACCAGCCAAGGUUAAGCGUGCAGGACGACGGCCCUACGGGUUGUAAACUGUCUUUUAUGCGGGGAUAAGUUCGCCACGUGUGGUGUUUUGUAUGUACCGUAUGAAUAAGGACCGGCUAAUUCCGUGCCAGCCGCGGC
This 515-nucleotide ribosomal RNA is filed under the name uncultured bacterium. RNAcentral's name for it is "bacterial SSU rRNA". It matches the Rfam family "Bacterial small subunit ribosomal RNA", at positions 15 to 518 of the family's 1533-position model. The record is from RNAcentral.